RNAcentral lists this ribosomal RNA (665 nucleotides) under uncultured bacterium. RNAcentral's name for it is "bacterial SSU rRNA". It matches the Rfam family "Bacterial small subunit ribosomal RNA", at positions 111 to 794 of the family's 1533-position model. The record is from RNAcentral.
UAACGCGUGGAUAACCUGCCGUAUACAGGGGGAUAACACUUAGAAAUAGGUGCUAAUACCGCAUAAGCGCACGGUUCCGCAUGGAACAGUGUGAAAAACUUCGGUGGUAUACGAUGGAUCCGCGUCUGAUUAGCCAGUUGGCGGGGUAACGGCCCACCAAAGCGACGAUCAGUAGCCGGCCUGAGAGGGUGAACGGCCACAUUGGGACUGAGACACGGCCCAAACUCCUACGGGAGGCAGCAGUGGGGAAUAUUGCACAAUGGGGGAAACCCUGAUGCAGCGACGCCGCGUGAGUGAAGAAGUAUCUCGGUACGUAAAGCUCUAUCAGCAGGGAAGAAAAUGACGGUACCUGAUUAAGAAGCCCCGGCUAACUACGUGCCAGCAGCCGCGGUAAUACGUAGGGGGCAAGCGUUAUCCGGAUUUACUGGGUGUAAAGGGAGCGUAGACGGCAGCGCAAGUCUGGAGUGAAAUGCCGGGGCCCAACCCCGGAACUGCUUUGGAAACUGUGCAGCUCGAGUGCAGGAGAGGUAAGCGGAAUUCCUAGUGUAGCGGUGAAAUGCGUAGAUAUUAGGAGGAACACCAGUGGCGAAGGCGGCUUACUGGACUGUAACUGACGUUGAGGCUCGAAAGCGUGGGGAGCAAACAGGAUUAGAUACCCUGGUAGU